RNAcentral lists this ribosomal RNA (603 nucleotides) under uncultured fungus. RNAcentral describes it as "eukaryotic LSU rRNA". It matches the Rfam family "Eukaryotic large subunit ribosomal RNA", at positions 23 to 641 of the family's 3401-position model. The record is from RNAcentral. Lineage: Eukaryota; Fungi.
ACCCGCUGAACUUAAGCAUAUCAAUAAGCGGAGGAAAAGAAACCAACAGGGAUUGCCCUAGUAACGGCGAGUGAAGCGGCAACAGCUCAAAUUUGAAAUCUGGCUUUUUUAGAGUCCGAGUUGUAAUUUGCAGAGGGCGCUUUGGCUUUGGCAGCGGUCCAAGUUCCUUGGAACAGGACGUCACAGAGGGUGAGAAUCCCGUACGUGGUCGCUGGCUAUUGCCGUGUAAAGCCCCUUCGACGAGUCGAGUUGUUUGGGAAUGCAGCUCUAAAUGGGAGGUACAUUUCUUCUAAAGCUAAAUAUUGGCCAGAGACCGAUAGCGCACAAGUAGAGUGAUCGAAAGAUGAAAAGCACUUUGGAAAGAGAGUCAAACAGCACGUGAAAUUGUUGAAAGGGAAGCGCUUGCAGCCAGACUUGCUUACAGUUGCUCAUCCGGGCUUUUGCCCGGUGCACUCUUCUGUAGGCAGGCCAGCAUCAGUUUGGGCGGUAGGAUAAAGGUCUCUGUCACGUACCUCUCUUCGGGGAGGCCUUAUAGGGGAGACGACAUACUACCAGCCUGGACUGAGGUCCGCGCAUCUGCUAGGAUGCUGGCGUAAUGGCUGU